GAAAUGCGAUAAGUAAUGUGAAUUGCAGAAUUCAGCGAAUCAUCAAAUCUUUGAACGCACAUUGCGCCUAUUAGUAUUCUAGUAGGCAUGCCUGUUCGAGCGUCAUUUCAACCCUCAAGCCCUGGUUGCUUGGUGUUGGGAGCUUGCUGUGAAACGCAACUCCUCAAAGCUAGCUGGCAGAGUCGGGAUGCACUCUAAGCGUAGUAAACUUGAUAGUCUCGCUUCUGCAGUUGUCCCGGCCGUCUUGCCAUAAAAGCCCAAACUUUUUUGUUUUCUAUGGUUGACCUCGGAUCAGGUAGGAAUACCCGCUGAACUUAAGC
This 320-nucleotide unclassified non-coding RNA is filed under the name plant metagenome. RNAcentral's name for it is "partial contains 5.8S ribosomal RNA, internal transcribed spacer 2, and large subunit ribosomal RNA". The stretch from base 1 to 105 matches the Rfam family "5.8S ribosomal RNA", at positions 50 to 154 of the family's 154-position model. The record is from RNAcentral.